GAUGAAGAACGCAGCGAAAUGCGAUACGUAAUGUGAAUUGCAGAAUUCAGUGAAUCAUCGAAUCUUUGAACGCAUAUUGCGCUCUUUGGUAUUCCGAAGAGCAUGCUUGUUUGAGUAUCAGUAAACACCUCAAAGCUUUUGGAUUUUUUAAUCGAAAAGCUUUGGACUUGAGCAAUCCCGACACCAAUCUUUUUGAGAUCGGUGGCGGGUUGCUUGAAAUGCAGGUGCAGCUGGACAUUCUCCUGAGCUAAAAGCAUAUUCAUUUAGUCCCGUCAAACGGAUUAUUACUUUUGCUGCAGCUAACAUAAAGGGAGUUUGACCGUAUUGGCUGACUGAUGCAGGAUUUCACAAGGGUCGGCAACGAUUCUUGUUAAACUCGAUCUCAAAUCAAGUAAGACUACCCGCUGAACUUAAGCAUAUCAAUAAGCGGAGGA
RNAcentral lists this unclassified non-coding RNA (434 nucleotides) under soil metagenome. Its description in RNAcentral is "partial contains 5.8S ribosomal RNA, internal transcribed spacer 2, and large subunit ribosomal RNA". The stretch from base 1 to 120 matches the Rfam family "5.8S ribosomal RNA", at positions 35 to 154 of the family's 154-position model. The record is from RNAcentral.